This 432-nucleotide ribosomal RNA is filed under the name uncultured bacterium. RNAcentral describes it as "partial 16S ribosomal RNA". It matches the Rfam family "Bacterial small subunit ribosomal RNA", at positions 29 to 506 of the family's 1533-position model. The record is from RNAcentral.
AACGAACGCUGGCGGCAUGCCUAACACAUGCAAGUCGAACGAGACCUUCGGGUCUAGUGGCGCACGGGUGCGUAACGCGUGGGAACCUGCCCUUAGGUUCGGAAUAACUCCCCGAAAGGGGUGCUAAUACCGGAUAAUGUCUUCGGACCAAAGAUUUAUCGCCUUUGGAUGGGCCCGCGUUGGAUUAGCUAGUUGGUAGGGUAAAAGCCUACCAAGGCGACGAUCCAUAGCUGGUCUGAGAGGAUGAUCAGCCACACUGGGACUGAGACACGGCACAGACUCCCAGGGGGGGAAGAAGUGGGGAAUAUUGGAAAAGGGGCGAAAGCCUGAACCAGCAAUGCCGGGGGAGUGAUGAAGGCCUUAGGGUUGUAAAGCUCUUUUACCCGGGAUGAUAAGGAAGGUACCGGGAGAAUAAGCCCCGGCUAACUCCGU